RNAcentral lists this ribosomal RNA (556 nucleotides) under uncultured bacterium. Its description in RNAcentral is "bacterial SSU rRNA". It matches the Rfam family "Bacterial small subunit ribosomal RNA", at positions 62 to 606 of the family's 1533-position model. The record is from RNAcentral.
UCGAGGGGCAGCAUGGUCUUAGCUUGCUAAGGCCGAUGGCGACCGGCGCACGCGCUGAGUAACACGUAUCCAACCUGCCGUCUACUCUUGGACAGCCUUCUGAAAGGAAGAUUAAUACAAGAUGGCAUCAUGAGUCCGCAUGUUCACAUGAUUAAAGGUAUUCCGGUAGACGAUGGGGAUGCGUUCCAUUAGAUAGUAGGCGGGGUAACGGCCCACCUAGUCUUCGAUGGAUAGGGGUUCUGAGAGGAAGGUCCCCCACAUUGGAACUGAGACACGGUCCAAACUCCUACGGGAGGCAGCAGUGAGGAAUAUUGGUCAAUGGGCGAGAGCCUGAACCAGCCAAGUAGCGUGAAGGAUGACUGCCCUAUGGGUUGUAAACUUCUUUUACAAAGGAAUAAAGUCGGGUAUGCAUACCCGUUUGCAUGUACUUUAUGAAUAAGGAUCGGCUAACUCCGUGCCAGCAGCCGCGGUAAUACGGAGGAUCCGAGCGUUAUCCGGAUUUAUUGGGUUUAAAGGGAGCGUAGAUGGAUGUUUAAGUCAGUUGUGAAAGUUUGCG